UACGAAGGGAGCUAGCGUUGUUCGGAAUCACUGGGCGUAAAGCGCACGUAGGCGGAUGUGUCAGUCAGGGGUGAAAUCCCGGGGCUCAACCUCGGAACUGCCUUUGAUACAGCACGUCUUGAGUCCGGAAGAGGUGGGUGGAAUUCCUAGUGUAGAGGUGAAAUUCGUAGAUAUUAGGAAGAACACCGGUGGCGAAGGCGGCCCACUGGUCCGGUACUGACGCUGAGGUGCGAAAGCGUGGGGAGCAAAC
Molecule: ribosomal RNA, 250 nt
Filed under: uncultured bacterium
Lineage: Bacteria
Description: partial 16S ribosomal RNA
Rfam family: Bacterial small subunit ribosomal RNA
Source: RNAcentral